This 433-nucleotide ribosomal RNA is filed under the name uncultured bacterium. RNAcentral describes it as "partial 16S ribosomal RNA". It matches the Rfam family "Bacterial small subunit ribosomal RNA", at positions 29 to 507 of the family's 1533-position model. The record is from RNAcentral.
AACGAACGCUGGCGGCAUGCCUAACACAUGCAAGUCGAACGAGACCUUCGGGUCUAGUGGCGCACGGGUGCGUAACGCGUGGGAACCUGCCCUUAGGUUCGGAAUAACUCCCCGAAAGGGGUGCUAAUACCGGAUAAGGUCUUCGGACCAAAGAUUUAUCGCCUUUGGAUGGGGCCGCGUUGGAUUAGCUAGUUGGUAGGGUAAAAGCCUACCAAGGCGACGAUCCAUAGCUGGUCUGAGAGGAUGAUCAGCCACACUGGGACUGAGACACGGCCCAGACUCCUACGGGAGGCAGCAGUGGGGAAUAUUGGACAAUGGGCGAAAGCCUGAUCCAGCAAUGCCGCGUGAGUGAUGAAGGCCUUGGGGUUGUAAAGCUCUUUUACCCGGGAUGAUAAUGACAGUACCGGGAGAAUAAGCUCCGGCUAACUCCGUG